CCUACGGGUGGCAGCAGUGGGGGAUAUUGCACAAUGGGGGAAACCCUGAUGCAGCGACGCCGCGUGGGUGAAGACGCGCCUCGGCGUGUAAAGCUCUGUCAGUAGGGAAGAAAAUGACGGUACUUGAAGAAGAAGACGCGGCUAACUACGUGCAAGCAGCCGCGGUACUACGUAGGGGGCAAGCGUUAUCCGGAUUUACUGGGUGUAAAGGGGGUGCAGACGGGGAUGCAGGCCAGGAGUGAAAGCCCGGGGCCCAACCCCGGGACUGCUAUUGGAACUGCGUGGCUAGAGUGCAGGAGGGGCAGGCGGAAUUCCUGGUGUAGCGGUGAAAUGCGUAGAUAUCAGGAAGAACACCGGUGGCGAAGGCGGCCUGCUGGACUGCAACUGACGUUGAGGCCCGAAAGCGUGGGGAGCAAACAGGAUUAGAUACCCCGGUAGUC
This 440-nucleotide ribosomal RNA is filed under the name uncultured bacterium. Its description in RNAcentral is "partial 16S ribosomal RNA". It matches the Rfam family "Bacterial small subunit ribosomal RNA", at positions 338 to 795 of the family's 1533-position model. The record is from RNAcentral.